Molecule: ribosomal RNA, 427 nt
Filed under: uncultured beta proteobacterium
Lineage: Bacteria; Pseudomonadati; Pseudomonadota; Betaproteobacteria
Description: bacterial SSU rRNA
Rfam family: Bacterial small subunit ribosomal RNA
Source: RNAcentral
UGGGGAAUUUUGGACAAUGGGCGAAAGCCUGAUCCAGCCAUGCCGCGUGAGUGAAGAAGGCCUUCGGGUUGUAAAGCUCUUUUAGUCGGAAAGAAAGAGUUGCAAUGAAUAAUUGUGAUUUAUGAUGGUACCGACAGAAAAAGCACCGGCUAACUACGUGCCAGCAGCCGCGGUAAUACGUAGGGUGCGAGCGUUAAUCGGAAUUACUGGGCGUAAAGGGUGCGCAGGCGGUCGUGCAAGUCAGAUGUGAAAGCCCCGGGCUUAACCUGGGAAUUGCGUUUGAAACUACAAGACUAGAGUGCAGCAGAGGGGAGUGGAAUUCCAUGUGUAGCAGUGAAAUGCGUAGAGAUGUGGAAGAACACCGAUGGCGAAGGCAGCUCCCUGGGUUGACACUGACGCUCAUGCACGAAAGCGUGGGGAGCAAACA